Molecule: unclassified non-coding RNA, 328 nt
Filed under: uncultured Pseudoalteromonas sp.
Lineage: Bacteria; Pseudomonadati; Pseudomonadota; Gammaproteobacteria; Alteromonadales; Pseudoalteromonadaceae
Description: partial 16S-23S ribosomal RNA intergenic spacer
Source: RNAcentral
CCUCCUUAUACGAUUUAGAACUUAUUUGUUCGUAGUGUCCACACAGAUGAUUGUUAGUUAGUUUUACCCUUUGGGUUAACUAAUUAAUAUGCUCUUUAAAAAUUUGGAAAAGCUGAUAAUAAAAUUCGUAUGAAUAACAUCGUUAUUUGUACAGAGUUUUCAAAAGUAAAAAAGAAUGAUAGCAGUAUCAUUCAGUGCCAAUUUAAUCCUCGGAUUAAUUGGUAUCUACUUUAGUAUUCAAUAUUAACUUCUGGCGAAGUUGAACUGUCACGAAACAAAGACCCGUUUGGGUUGUAUGGUUAAGUGACUAAGCGUACACGGUGGAUGC